Long non-coding RNA from Wasmannia auropunctata (little fire ant), 1154 nucleotides. RefSeq lists it as uncharacterized. The transcript is spliced from 5 exons. The record is from RefSeq and is a predicted model, not a curated record. Lineage: Eukaryota; Metazoa; Arthropoda; Insecta; Hymenoptera; Formicidae.
ACGUCAUAGAGAAACUUUCUUGCUAAAUUUAACAAAUAGUUCAGAUAUAAUUUCUGUCUCUGUUAUCUAUAUUGAUUGAAAUACGAAACAUAUGUGAUAUCGCAUGAGUCUCGGUCAAGUAUGUUUUCCGGUAAUAAAUCUGAUAAGGUCAACAAGAGACCUUCUAGAGAGAUGUUGUCUGCACGGAAAAGUCGGUCUUAUCAGCCUUCAUUGCAAAAGAGCGACAACGGAUCGAAAGAUCAGGUGAUACGUACCACCAACUUUUUGAGGCGUAAGGCUAUAGAUUCGAUCGACUCAAUUAAACGCAAACUCGAAAGUAUCCAAGGAAACUAUGACGAACGCUAAAAACUACUUUUGCAUAUCGUCAUUAUCUCAGUUGUCCCGAUUCCUGUCCGAAUCCCCGACUCGAUUCUUGUCCCGAUCUUCUUUUCUAUCUCGAUCUCCUAUUCUCGAUCCGCUAUCUCCGUCUUUGUUCCGAUCUUCAAUACAAGAGUGGAUAAAUCAACAAUUCGAUAAAAUAAUAGAAAUUUACACGCUGGAAACAAAUAAAUUUACACGCCAGAGAAAUUACGACCGAAAAGGGUAGGUAUGACUGAUACCAGUGUCACUGUACGCAUUGUAUGUGCUAAAGAGCGAACUGAACCGACUGAAAGAAGGUCAUUUAAGUUUACGGCAUUUCUUUUCUCGGAUACAAAAGUUGAAAAAAUUGCUGAAAAGGCAAUUCGAUGACAUAUAUUCACGAAAUACCAUUAAGAAUAAGAGAGAUAUUUUCCAGCCUUCACUAGAAAAUCAGUCUCCAUUGACUGUGAAUAAGAGCUACAACAAAAUAAAAGAUCAAGAGAGAUAGAGAUUCAUUUUAGCGAUGAUAAUAGGACGUCCAGAGUGACGAUGAGUGACGAGAAUUUUGAUGAAUAUUAAUUAGGUUUGACUACUCUGUGUAGUCCUAUCUCGACCGUUUAAUGGAAUCAAGAUUAGCCAAGAAAGAUAAUGACGAUUAAAGGCAUAGGAAUUUCGGACGUUAAGAUAUACUCCCAAUUGCGGAAAUGUUAUAAAAUAAUUCAAAUAAGACAAUUCAAAGAGAUAAAAGUGUUCAAAUGGUCAAAAAAUGAAAUAAAAACGAGUUUAAUCCAAAAUAAAAUAAAGUAAAUUUUACU